RNAcentral lists this microRNA (23 nucleotides) under Gadus morhua (Atlantic cod). RNAcentral's name for it is "gmo-miR-11205-3p". The record is from miRBase by way of RNAcentral. Lineage: Eukaryota; Metazoa; Chordata; Actinopteri; Gadiformes; Gadidae.
UUGAUUAUGUGUCAGGGAAACGG